RNAcentral lists this ribosomal RNA (2139 nucleotides) under Salmonella enterica subsp. enterica serovar Chester. Its description in RNAcentral is "partial 23S ribosomal RNA". It matches the Rfam family "Bacterial large subunit ribosomal RNA", at positions 683 to 2802 of the family's 2925-position model. The record is from RNAcentral. Lineage: Bacteria; Pseudomonadati; Pseudomonadota; Gammaproteobacteria; Enterobacterales; Enterobacteriaceae. RNAcentral also lists the same sequence under 2 other names.
CUUAAUUGGGCGUUAAGUUGCAGGGUAUAGACCCGAAACCCGGUGAUCUAGCCAUGGGCAGGUUGAAGGUUGGGUAACACUAACUGGAGGACCGAACCGACUAAUGUUGAAAAAUUAGCGGAUGACCUGUGGCUGGGGGUGAAAGGCCAAUCAAACCGGGAGAUAGCUGGUUCUCCCCGAAAGCUAUUUAGGUAGCGCCUCGUGAAUUCAUCUCCGGGGGUAGAGCACUGUUUCGGCUAGGGGGCCAUCCCGGCUUACCAACCCGAUGCAAACUGCGAAUACCGGAGAAUGUUAUCACGGGAGACACACGGCGGGUGCUAACGUCCGUCGUGAAGAGGGAAACAACCCAGACCGCCAGCUAAGGUCCCAAAGUCAUGGUUAAGUGGGAAACGAUGUGGGAAGGCCCAGACAGCCAGGAUGUUGGCUUAGAAGCAGCCAUCAUUUAAAGAAAGCGUAAUAGCUCACUGGUCGAGUCGGCCUGCGCGGAAGAUGUAACGGGGCUAAACCAUGCACCGAAGCUGCGGCAGCGACGCUGAUGCGUUGUUGGGUAGGGGAGCGUUCUGUAAGCCUGCGAAGGUGGCCUGUGAGGGUUGCUGGAGGUAUCAGAAGUGCGAAUGCUGACAUAAGUAACGAUAAAGCGGGUGAAAAGCCCGCUCGCCGGAAGACCAAGGGUUCCUGUCCAACGUUAAUCGGGGCAGGGUGAGUCGACCCCUAAGGCGAGGCCGAAAGGCGUAGUCGAUGGGAAACGGGUUAAUAUUCCCGUACUUGGUGUUACUGCGAAGGGGGGACGGAGAAGGCUAUGUUGGCCGGGCGACGGUUGUCCCGGUUUAAGCGUGUAGGUGUGUGUUCCAGGUAAAUCCGGUUCACUUUAACACUGAGGCGUGAUGACGAGGCACUACGGUGCUGAAGCAACAAAUGCCCUGCUUCCAGGAAAAGCCUCUAAGCAUCAGGUAACAUCAAAUCGUACCCCAAACCGACACAGGUGGUCAGGUAGAGAAUACCAAGGCGCUUGAGAGAACUCGGGUGAAGGAACUAGGCAAAAUGGUGCCGUAACUUCGGGAGAAGGCACGCUGACACGUAGGUGAAGUGAUUUACUCAUGGAGCUGAAGUCAGUCGAAGAUACCAGCUGGCUGCAACUGUUUAUUAAAAACACAGCACUGUGCAAACACGAAAGUGGACGUAUACGGUGUGACGCCUGCCCGGUGCCGGAAGGUUAAUUGAUGGGGUCAGCGCAAGCGAAGCUCCUGAUCGAAGCCCCGGUAAACGGCGGCCGUAACUAUAACGGUCCUAAGGUAGCGAAAUUCCUUGUCGGGUAAGUUCCGACCUGCACGAAUGGCGUAAUGAUGGCCAGGCUGUCUCCACCCGAGACUCAGUGAAAUUGAACUCGCUGUGAAGAUGCAGUGUACCCGCGGCAAGACGGAAAGACCCCGUGAACCUUUACUAUAGCUUGACACUGAACAUUGAGCCUUGAUGUGUAGGAUAGGUGGGAGGCUUUGAAGUGUGGACGCCAGUCUGCAUGGAGCCGACCUUGAAAUACCACCCUUUAAUGUUUGAUGUUCUAACGUGGACCCGUGAUCCGGGUUGCGGACAGUGUCUGGUGGGUAGUUUGACUGGGGCGGUCUCCUCCUAAAGAGUAACGGAGGAGCACGAAGGUUGGCUAAUCCUGGUCGGACAUCAGGAGGUUAGUGCAAUGGCAUAAGCCAGCUUGACUGCGAGCGUGACGGCGCGAGCAGGUGCGAAAGCAGGUCAUAGUGAUCCGGUGGUUCUGAAUGGAAGGGCCAUCGCUCAACGGAUAAAAGGUACUCCGGGGAUAACAGGCUGAUACCGCCCAAGAGUUCAUAUCGACGGCGGUGUUUGGCACCUCGAUGUCGGCUCAUCACAUCCUGGGGCUGAAGUAGGUCCCAAGGGUAUGGCUGUUCGCCAUUUAAAGUGGUACGCGAGCUGGGUUUAGAACGUCGUGAGACAGUUCGGUCCCUAUCUGCCGUGGGCGCUGGAGAACUGAGGGGGGCUGCUCCUAGUACGAGAGGACCGGAGUGGACGCAUCACUGGUGUUCGGGUUGUCAUGCCAAUGGCACUGCCCGGUAGCUAAAUGCGGAAGAGAUAAGUGCUGAAAGCAUCUAAGCACGAAACUUGCCCCGA